RNAcentral lists this ribosomal RNA (235 nucleotides) under uncultured bacterium. Its description in RNAcentral is "partial 16S ribosomal RNA". It matches the Rfam family "Bacterial small subunit ribosomal RNA", at positions 99 to 334 of the family's 1533-position model. The record is from RNAcentral.
CGGACGGGUGAGUAACGCGUAGGUAUCUAUCUUCGGGUGGGGGGACAACCGUGGGAAACUACGGCUAAUACCGCAUGACGAGUGAGGUUCAAAGGCGCCUGGGGUUACCUGGGGGCUGCCUGGAGCGGAGCCUGCGUACGAUUAGCUAGUUGGUGGGGUAAAGGCCUACCAAGGCGAUGAUCGUUAGCUGGUCUGAGAGGAUGAUCAGCCACAUUGGGACUGAGACACGGCCCAA